Molecule: ribosomal RNA, 253 nt
Filed under: uncultured bacterium
Lineage: Bacteria
Description: partial 16S ribosomal RNA
Rfam family: Bacterial small subunit ribosomal RNA
Source: RNAcentral
UACGUAGGGUGCGAGCGUUGUCCGGAAUUACUGGGCGUAAAGAGCUCGUAGGUGGUUUGUCGCGUUGUUCGUGAAAUCUCACGGCUUAACUGUGAGCGUGCGGGCGAUACGGGCAGACUAGAGUACUGCAGGGGAGACUGGAAUUCCUGGUGUAGCGGUGGAAUGCGCAGAUAUCAGGAGGAACACCGGUGGCGAAGGCGGUCUGCUGGGCAGUUGCUGACACUGAGGCGCGACAGCGUGGGGAGCAAACAGG